GACGAACGCUGGCGGCACGCUUAACACAUGCAAGUCGAACGAGAGAAGAGAAGCUUGCUUUUCUGAUCUAGUGGCGGACGGGUGAGUAACACGUGAGCAAUCUGCCUUUCAGAGGGGGAUACCGAUUGGAAACGAUCGUUAAUACCGCAUAACAUAAUUGAACCGCAUGAUUUGAUUAUCAAAGAUUUAUCGCUGAAAGAUGAGCUCGCGUCUGAUUAGCUAGUUGGUAAGGUAACGGCUUACCAAGGCGACGAUCAGUAGCCGGACUGAGAGGUUGAUCGGCCACAUUGGGACUGAGACACGGCCCAGACUCCUACGGGAGGCAGCAGUGGGGAAUAUUGCACAAUGGAGGAAACUCUGAUGCAGCGAUGCCGCGUGAGGGAAGAAGGUUUUAGGAUUGUAAACCUCUGUCUUCAGGGACGAAAAAAGACGGUACCUGAGGAGGAAGCGCCGGCUAACUACGUG
Molecule: ribosomal RNA, 465 nt
Filed under: uncultured bacterium
Lineage: Bacteria
Description: partial 16S ribosomal RNA
Rfam family: Bacterial small subunit ribosomal RNA
Source: RNAcentral